RNAcentral lists this ribosomal RNA (304 nucleotides) under uncultured bacterium. RNAcentral describes it as "partial 16S ribosomal RNA". It matches the Rfam family "Bacterial small subunit ribosomal RNA", at positions 509 to 807 of the family's 1533-position model. The record is from RNAcentral.
CAGCAGUCGCCGCGGGAAUACGAAGGGGGCUAGCGUUGCUCGGGAUGACUGGGCGUAAAGGGCGCGUAGGCGGAUUGUUUAGUUAGGCGUGAAAUUCCUGGGCUUAACCUGGGGACUGCGCUUAAUACAGGCAGUCUAGAGUGAGGAAGAGGGUUGUGGAAUUCCCAGUGUAGAGGUGAAAUUCGUAGAUAUUGGGAAGAACACCAGUGGCGAAGGCGGCUCACUGGACCGACACUGGCGCUGAGGCGCGAAAGCGUGGGGAGCAAACAGGAUUAGAUACCCCUGUAGUCCCUGUCUCUUAUAC